Molecule: ribosomal RNA, 465 nt
Filed under: uncultured bacterium
Lineage: Bacteria
Description: partial 16S ribosomal RNA
Rfam family: Bacterial small subunit ribosomal RNA
Source: RNAcentral
GACGAACGCUGGCGGCGUGCUUAACACAUGCAAGUCGAACGGAAAGGCCCCUUUGGGGGUACUCGAGUGGCGAACGGGUGCGUAACACGUGCGUAACCUGCCCUUGACUUCGGGAUAACUUCAGGAAACUGGGGCUAAUACCGGAUAGGAAUCCUUGCUGCAUGGUGGGGGUUGGAAAGCUUCGGCGGGUUUGGAUGGACUCGCGGCUUAUCAGCUUGUUGGUGGGGUAGUGGCUUACCAAGGCUUUGACGGGUAGCCGGCCUGCGAGGGCGACCGGCCACAUUGGGACUGAGAUACGGCCCAGACUCCUACGGGAGGCAGCAGUGGGGAAUAUUGCACAAUGGGCGGAAGCCUGAUGCAGCAACGCCGCGGGCGGGAUGACGGCCUUCGGGUUGUAAACCGCUUUCAGCAGGGGCGAAGCUUGUGGUGACGGUACCUGCAGAAGAAGCACCGGCUAACUACGUG